Molecule: ribosomal RNA, 425 nt
Filed under: uncultured bacterium
Lineage: Bacteria
Description: partial 16S ribosomal RNA
Rfam family: Bacterial small subunit ribosomal RNA
Source: RNAcentral
GUGGGGAAUCUUAGACAAUGGGCGCAAGCCUGAUCUAGCCAUGCCGCGUGAGCGAUGAAGGCCUUAGGGUUGUAAAGCUCUUUCAGGGGGGAAGAUAAUGACGGUACCCCCAGAAGAAGCCCCGGCUAACUCCGUGCCAGCAGCCGCGGUAAUACGGAGGGGGCUAGCGUUGUUCGGAAUUACUGGGCGUAAAGCGCACGUAGGCGGACCAGAAAGUCAGGGGUGAAAUCCCGGGGCUCAACCCCGGAACUGCCUUUGAAACUCCUGGUGGUGAGGUCGAGAGAGGUGAGUGGAAUUCCGAGUGUAGAGGUGAAAUUCGUAGAUAUUCGGAGGAACACCAGUGGCGAAGGCGGCUCACUGGCUCGAUACUGACGCUGAGGUGCGAAAGCGUGGGGAGCAAACAGGAUUAGAUACCCGGGUAGUCC